GAUGAACGCUGGCGGCGUGCCUAAUACAUGCAAGUCGAGCGGUAAGGCCUCUUCGGAGGUACACGAGCGGCGGACGGCUGAGUAACGCGUAGGAACAUACCCCAAAGUGAGGGAUAACUGCUCGAAAGAGUAGCUAAUACCGCAUGUGAUCUAAGGAUUAAAGCUUCGGCGCUUUGGGAAUGGCCUGCGUAUGAUUAGUUUGUUGGUGAGGUAAUGGCUCACCAAGACUACGAUCAUUAGCUGGUCUGAGAGGAUGAUCAGCCAGACUGGGACUGAGACACGGCCCAGACUCCUACGGGAGGUAGCAGUAGGGAAUCUUCCACAAUGGGCGAAAGCCUGAUGGAGCAACGCCGCGUGCGGGAUGAAGGCCUUCGGGUUGUAAACUGCUUUUAUAUGCGAAGAUUAUGACGGUAGCAUAUGAAUAAGGAUCGGCUAACUCCGUGCCAGCCGCCGCGGUAA
Molecule: ribosomal RNA, 459 nt
Filed under: uncultured bacterium
Lineage: Bacteria
Description: partial 16S ribosomal RNA
Rfam family: Bacterial small subunit ribosomal RNA
Source: RNAcentral